GCUGACUACGUGCCAGCGUGGGGGGUAAAGCGUGGGGGGCGAGCGGUUGCGGGAUGCAUUGUGGGUGAGGGGCGCGGAGGCGGAGCGGAAAGUCGGUCGGGAAAGGCCGGGGCUCAACGCCGGGACUGCGUCCGAUACUCUCGAGCUGGAGGCAGGUAGGGGAGAUCGGAAUUCCUGGUGUAGCGGUGAAAUGCGCAGAUAUCAGGAGGAACACCGGUGGCGAAGGCGGAUCUCUGGGCCUUGCCUGACGCUGAGGCGCGAAAGCUAGGGGAGCGAACAGGAUUAGAUACCCGUGUAGUC
This 300-nucleotide ribosomal RNA is filed under the name uncultured Chloroflexus sp. RNAcentral's name for it is "bacterial SSU rRNA". It matches the Rfam family "Bacterial small subunit ribosomal RNA", at positions 496 to 795 of the family's 1533-position model. The record is from RNAcentral. Lineage: Bacteria; Bacillati; Chloroflexota; Chloroflexia; Chloroflexales; Chloroflexaceae.